UGACUCAAUGUUAAUAGUAUGCCAUUAACCAAGAAUUAAGAUUCAUCUAAUUCUGUGCAUCUGGGGUCCUU
This 71-nucleotide small nucleolar RNA is filed under the name Pteropus vampyrus (large flying fox). RNAcentral's name for it is "Small nucleolar RNA SNORD112 (ENSPVAG00000028074.1)". The record is from RNAcentral. Lineage: Eukaryota; Metazoa; Chordata; Mammalia; Chiroptera; Pteropodidae.